CUUUUUUAGAUGUAGUAAUUUGCAGAUACCAGAUGGAUGUAGAGAUGCUACAUACACCAGUUGUAGACAAAUAUAAGUUCUCCAAGAUGCUUCGCUGGUAUAAAUAAAUUUGGUGGCUGAUGCUCUGGCUGGCAAUAUUUCUUCAAAAAGCUCAAAGACUUGUCAUUGCAGCAACUCUCAUUGGGUACCUUUUCUUGCUUUAACCGUAAUUAUAAGUUAAGGGCUCUAAUUAUCUCUAAGCUAAUAGAAUUAAAUAAAAUAACAGUUAGUCGAUAUUUUUCUCCUUUACUAGUAUGUAUUGGGGUCCUUGUGCUCAUUUCAUUAUUCAUUCAUCACAAGAAUAGCCAUGGCAAACAUUAGUCCAGUAUUUCAGAGAGCCUUUAUCAUUAUACCACCUCAACACUACAUUUCGUCAAUAUUUACUUAAAAAAAAUCAAACAACUAAAAAGCUAGUUUAAGACCUUCGCAUACACAAUUAUGACACAAGUAUGAAUAUGCUCGUCCACGCAGGCUCCGCUUUUAGGCAGUGCAAGACUACUGCAUAUCCCCAUCAAAACAGUAGAUAGAUUGCGUGUAAUGAACUUGGGCCGCCUGUGGUUGAGCGAAUUGUAAAUCCUAAGGAGCAUAGAUGACUUCCAGGGAGUUAAACAAAAAGCAAACAACAAUUACUGUGUAUACAUAUUCAACAAUAUAAAGAAAGACCGCUUUUACCUUGGUAAAAUAAAGCUGGGAUUCUUUAGACCGAUACUAAAACUAUCGUAACCUGGCCUUCCCAAAACACACAGGAAAACCAAGCGAUCAAGGUCAGUACUCCAAGGAAUACCUGUGGUUUAAGCGGGAAAAUCAAGAGGGGCGGCGCGCGCGAAAACAAAAACAAAAAAUUAAAUAUUGCCCCUGCAGUUGUGUUACACCAAAACGUAAGUACACAACACUUAACCUGAACUCCUAUUUAACCCCGUUUUUCUAGCUCGCUUAAAAGGCAAGAAAUACCUUUUUUGUUCCUUUACUUUAAUUUUACAUUUUCCACAGAAUGUCGCAAAACGCACAGCCCGCCGGACCGCCCCCAUCGAGCGGCGGCAAACGAGAAGAAAAUAAUCAGCAGAAAGGGAAAAGAAAAACAUGUGAAAAGUGUAAAGGUCACGGCCAUAAGGCUGAAAAAUGUAAGUAUAUGUAGAAAGAACUUGAAGUGUGAAAAUGUAAUGACAAUGUAACAAGUGUUUAACAUAUUUAUUUCAUCAGAUAAUAAUGUGCGCUGUUAUAGGUGUCGGGGGCAGGGGCACAAAAAAAAACAAUGCCCCACACGACCUCAAAAGAAGAACAACAACAAGACGAAAAGAGGCAAUGCAGCUGCAGGCGGUGGCAGUGGUGGGGCAAAGCAGUUUGUCUUCCACAUAUAUUGAUUUCCAUAUUUAGGGGAGUGCUUUUGGUGCCUCCUCUAAAUAUGGAAAUUAAUUGUUACCUGGUAGACAAACUGUUGUCUCUUUAUUAAUACAUGUUUUGACAUUUAUUAUUUUAUAUAAUACACCUAUUUCAAAUGAGCAAAUGUCACAAACUGCAGUGCUUCAAAGAUAUCAAAUGAGCCAACAAAUAAGCAUAGAUCAAAGCUUACCCAUGUUUCUUUUUGUGUGUCUUUUGAAUGAACCAAUCAGUGUUACCACACAUUGAUUCUCCAAUGCAAUACCUUGUUUGAAAUAGGUGUAUAAUAUAUAUUUAAAAAAUAUUGUAA
Nematostella vectensis (starlet sea anemone) is the source of this 1726-nucleotide long non-coding RNA. RefSeq lists it as uncharacterized. The record is from RefSeq and is a predicted model, not a curated record. The transcript has 5 exons. NCBI's taxonomy places the organism in Eukaryota, Metazoa, Cnidaria, Anthozoa, Actiniaria, Edwardsiidae.